RNAcentral lists this ribosomal RNA (445 nucleotides) under uncultured bacterium. Its description in RNAcentral is "partial 16S ribosomal RNA". It matches the Rfam family "Bacterial small subunit ribosomal RNA", at positions 354 to 796 of the family's 1533-position model. The record is from RNAcentral.
GUGAGGAAUAUUGGUCAAUGGGCGCAAGCCUGAACCAGCCAUCCCGCGUGCAGGAAGACGGCCCUAUGGGUUGUAAACUGCUUUUCCGGGGGGAGAAUUUUUCCGUCGUGACGGGAAUUGACGGUACCCCGGGAAUAAGCAUCGGCUAACUCCGUGCCAGCAGCCGCGGUAAUACGGAGGAUGCGAGCGUUAUCCGGAUUUAUUGGGUUUAAAGGGUGCGUAGGCGGAAUGAUAAGUCAGUGGUGAAAACCUGCAGCUUAACUGUAGACUUGCCGUUGAUACUGUCAGUCUUGAGUGUGGUCAAGGUAGGCGGAAUGUGUAAUGUAGCGGUGAAAUGCUUAGAUAUUACACAGAACACCGAUUGCGAAGGCAGCUUACUGGGCCAUUACUGACGCUGAUGCACGAAAGCGUGGGGAUCGAACAGGAUUAGAAACCCUGGUAGUCC